UAUGGGGCAAGCGUUAUCCGGAUUUACUGGGUGUAAAGGGAGCGCAGGCGGUCUUGCAAGUCUGAUGUGAAAGCCCGAGGCUCAACCACGGGCCUGCAUUGGAAACUGUGAGACUGGAGUGUCGGAGGGGCAAGUGGAAUUCCUAGUGUAGCGGUGAAAUGCGUAGAUAUUAGGAGGAACACCAGUGGCGAAGGCGGCUUGCUGGACGACAACUGACGCUGAGGCUCGAAAGCGUGGGGAGCAAA
Molecule: ribosomal RNA, 245 nt
Filed under: uncultured bacterium
Lineage: Bacteria
Description: partial 16S ribosomal RNA
Rfam family: Bacterial small subunit ribosomal RNA
Source: RNAcentral